UGAACGCUAGCUACAGGCUUAACACAUGCAAGUCGAGGGGCAGCAUGGUCUUAGCUUGCUAAGACUGAUGGCGACCGGCGCACGGGUGAGUAACACGUAUCCAACCUGCCGUCUACUCUUGGACAGCCUUCUGAAAGGAAGAUUAAUACAAGAUGGCAUCAUGAGUCCACAUGUUCACAUGAUUAAAGGUAUUCCGGUAGACGAUGGGGAUGCGUUCCAUUAGAUAGUAGGCGGGGUAACGGCCCACCUAGUCUUCGAUGGAUAGGGGUUCUGAGAGGAAGGUCCCCCACAUUGGAACUGAGACACGGUCCAAACUCCUACGGGAGGCAGCAGUGAGGAAUAUUGGUCAAUGGGCGAGAGCCUGAACCAGCCAAGUAGCGUGAAGGAUGACUGCCCUAUGGGUUGUAAACUUCUUUUAUAAAGGAAUAAAGUCGGGUAUGCAUACCCGUUUGCAUGUACUUUAUGAAUAAGGAUCGGCUAACUCCGUGCCAGCAGCCGCGGUAAUACGGAGGAUCCGAGCGUUAUCCGGAUUUAUUGGGUUUAAAGGGAGCGUAGAUGGAUGUUUAAGUCAGUUGUGAAAGUUUGCGGCUCAACCGUAAAAUUGCAGUUGAUACUGGAUAUCUUGAGUGCAGUUGAGGCAGGCGGAAUUCGUGGUGUAGCGGUGAAAUGCUUAGAUAUCACGAAGAACUCCGAUUGCGAAGGCAGCCUGCUAAGCUGCAACUGACAUUGAGGCUCGAAAGUGUGGGUAUCAAACAGGAUUAGAUACCCUGGUAGUCCACACGGUAAACGAUGAAUACUCGCUGUUUGCGAUAUACAGCAAGCGGCCAAGCGAAAGCGUUAAGUAUUCCACCUGGGGAGUACGCCGGCAACGGUGAAACUCAAAGGAAUUGACGGGGGCCCGCACAAGCGGAGGAACAUGUGGUUUAAUUCGAUGAUACGCGAGGAACCUUACCCGGGCUUAAAUUGCAGAUGAAUUACGGUGAAAGCCGUAAGCCGCAAGGCAUCUGUGAAGGUGCUGCAUGGUUGUCGUCAGCUCGUGCCGUGAGGUGUCGGCUUAAGUGCCAUAACGAGCGCAACCCUUGUUGUCAGUUACUAACAGGUCCUGCUGAGGACUCUGACAAGACUGCCAUCGUAAGAUGUGAGGAAGGUGGGGAUGACGUCAAAUCAGCACGGCCCUUACGUCCGGGGCUACACACGUGUUACAAUGGGGGGUACAGAGGGCCGCUACCACGCGAGUGGAUGCCAAUCCCCAAAACCUCUCUCAGUUCGGACUGGAGUCUGCAACCCGACUCCACGAAGCUGGAUUCGCUAGUAAUCGCGCAUCAGCCACGGCGCGGUGAAUACGUUCCCGGGCCUUGUACACACCGCCCGUCAAGCCAUGGGAGCCGGGGGUACCUGAAGUGCGUAACCGCGAGGAGCGCCCUAGGGUAAAACUGGUGACUGGGGC
Molecule: ribosomal RNA, 1447 nt
Filed under: uncultured organism
Description: 16S ribosomal RNA
Rfam family: Bacterial small subunit ribosomal RNA
Source: RNAcentral